RNAcentral lists this ribosomal RNA (1216 nucleotides) under Staphylococcus aureus. RNAcentral describes it as "bacterial SSU rRNA". It matches the Rfam family "Bacterial small subunit ribosomal RNA", at positions 1 to 1198 of the family's 1533-position model. The record is from RNAcentral. Lineage: Bacteria; Bacillati; Bacillota; Bacilli; Caryophanales; Staphylococcaceae.
UUUAUGGAGAGUUUGAUCCUGGCUCAGGAUGAACGCUGGCGGCGUGCCUAAUACAUGCAAGUCGAGCGAACGGACGAGAAGCUUGCUUCUCUGAUGUUAGCGGCGGACGGGUGAGUAACACGUGGAUAACCUACCUAUAAGACUGGGAUAACUUCGGGAAACCGGAGCUAAUACCGGAUAAUAUUUUGAACCGCAUGGUUCAAAAGUGAAAGACGGUCUUGCUGUCACUUAUAGAUGGAUCCGCGCUGCAUUAGCUAGUUGGUAAGGUAACGGCUUACCAAGGCAACGAUGCAUAGCCGACCUGAGAGGGUGAUCGGCCACACUGGAACUGAGACACGGUCCAGACUCCUACGGGAGGCAGCAGUAGGGAAUCUUCCGCAAUGGGCGAAAGCCUGACGGAGCAACGCCGCGUGAGUGAUGAAGGUCUUCGGAUCGUAAAACUCUGUUAUUAGGGAAGAACAUAUGUGUAAGUAACUGUGCACAUCUUGACGGUACCUAAUCAGAAAGCCACGGCUAACUACGUGCCAGCAGCCGCGGUAAUACGUAGGUGGCAAGCGUUAUCCGGAAUUAUUGGGCGUAAAGCGCGCGUAGGCGGUUUUUUAAGUCUGAUGUGAAAGCCCACGGCUCAACCGUGGAGGGUCAUUGGAAACUGGAAAACUUGAGUGCAGAAGAGGAAAGUGGAAUUCCAUGUGUAGCGGUGAAAUGCGCAGAGAUAUGGAGGAACACCAGUGGCGAAGGCGACUUUCUGGUCUGUAACUGACGCUGAUGUGCGAAAGCGUGGGGAUCAAACAGGAUUAGAUACCCUGGUAGUCCACGCCGUAAACGAUGAGUGCUAAGUGUUAGGGGGUUUCCGCCCCUUAGUGCUGCAGCUAACGCAUUAAGCACUCCGCCUGGGGAGUACGACCGCAAGGUUGAAACUCAAAGGAAUUGACGGGGACCCGCACAAGCGGUGGAGCAUGUGGUUUAAUUCGAAGCAACGCGAAGAACCUUACCAAAUCUUGACAUCCUUUGACAACUCUAGAGAUAGAGCCUUCCCCUUCGGGGGACAAAGUGACAGGUGGUGCAUGGUUGUCGUCAGCUCGUGUCGUGAGAUGUUGGGUUAAGUCCCGCAACGAGCGCAACCCUUAAGCUUAGUUGCCAUCAUUAAGUUGGGCACUCUAAGUUGACUGCCGGUGACAAACCGGAGGAAGGUGGGGAUGACGUCAAAUCAUCAUGC